RNAcentral lists this ribosomal RNA (314 nucleotides) under Enterococcus faecium. Its description in RNAcentral is "partial 16S ribosomal RNA". It matches the Rfam family "Bacterial small subunit ribosomal RNA", at positions 1228 to 1533 of the family's 1533-position model. Lineage: Bacteria; Bacillati; Bacillota; Bacilli; Lactobacillales; Enterococcaceae. The record is from RNAcentral.
CAAUGGGAAGUACAACGAGUUGCGAAGUCGCGAGGCUAAGCUAAUCUCUUAAAGCUUCUCUCAGUUCGGAUUGCAGGCUGCAACUCGCCUGCAUGAAGCCGGAAUCGCUAGUAAUCGCGGAUCAGCACGCCGCGGUGAAUACGUUCCCGGGCCUUGUACACACCGCCCGUCACACCACGAGAGUUUGUAACACCCGAAGUCGGUGAGGUAACCUUUUGGAGCCAGCCGCCUAAGGUGGGAUAGAUGAUUGGGGUGAAGUCGUAACAAGGUAGCCGUAUCGGAAGGUGCGGCUGGAUCACCUCCUUUCUAAGGAA